UCAAACGAAGUGGUCGCCCUUCAACUUCCUGGUAGCAUAUUUGCAUGGAAGAAGUCAAUAACACAGGAAUGAUUGUACAAAAUGCAGCGAGCGCGGCAACAUGGGAGCGGCGUUCGAGUGACUUCGAAGCUGAACCCAAGCAUCCUUCAGACUCAGAGAAAGCCUUGAGUUGGUGGUGAUCUGUCGUCUCUAUCGUCACAAAUCGACGGCGGAGGUUCCAAAAUGUUGCAGAUCUCGUCAAACGCUCCGAGUCCAUGAAGAAGAAGCUCAAAAUCCAGUUUUUAAGAAACUAAGACAGAUUCGCAGAGAAUACAUGCAAGUAAAGAAAAAAGGGUAUGGUUGAAGAAUGGAGGGAAACAUACUGGUAUUUGAGGAGCAUAUGCUGAGAGGAUGCCAUAAUGCUGUUCCAUGGGGGAUUGCAGGGAAAAAAUUGGUGAAGGUUUUUGUGGAUCCACAGAAAUCUUACAGUCACCUGCAAGGAUUUUUCAACAGAAGUUUUC
Cucurbita maxima (winter squash) is the source of this 500-nucleotide long non-coding RNA. RefSeq lists it as uncharacterized. The transcript is spliced from 4 exons. The record is from RefSeq and is a predicted model, not a curated record. Lineage: Eukaryota; Viridiplantae; Streptophyta; Magnoliopsida; Cucurbitales; Cucurbitaceae.